CCUACGGGUGGCAGCAGUGGGGAAUAUUGCACAAUGGGCGCAAGCCUGAUGCAGCCAUGCCGCGUGUGUGAAGAAGGCCUUCGGGUUGUAAAGCACUUUCAGCGGGGAGGAAGGCGGUGGGGUUAAUAACCUCAUCGAUUGACGUUACCCGCAGAAGAAGCACCGGCUAACUCCGUGCCAGCAGCCGCGGUAAUACGGAGGGUGCAAGCGUUAAUCGGAAUUACUGGGCGUAAAGCGCACGCAGGCGGUCUGUCAAGUCGGAUGUGAAAUCCCCGGGCUCAACCUGGGAACUGCAUUCGAAACUGGCAGGCUAGAGUCUUGUAGAGGGGGGUAGAAUUCCAGGUGUAGCGGUGAAAUGCGUAGAGACCUGGAGGAAUACCGGUGGCGAAGGCGGCCCCCUGGACAAAGACUGACGCUCAGGUGCGAAAGCGUGGGGAGCAAACAGGAUUAGAUACCCUAGUAGUC
This 465-nucleotide ribosomal RNA is filed under the name uncultured Klebsiella sp. Its description in RNAcentral is "bacterial SSU rRNA". It matches the Rfam family "Bacterial small subunit ribosomal RNA", at positions 338 to 795 of the family's 1533-position model. The record is from RNAcentral. Lineage: Bacteria; Pseudomonadati; Pseudomonadota; Gammaproteobacteria; Enterobacterales; Enterobacteriaceae.